Molecule: long non-coding RNA, 1824 nt
Organism: Glycine soja
Lineage: Eukaryota; Viridiplantae; Streptophyta; Magnoliopsida; Fabales; Fabaceae
Exons: 2
Source: RefSeq, a predicted model, not a curated record
GUUCAACUAUGAUUUUUUAAAGAAAACCGUCUUUGUCUCCUCAAUCCUUUGUUAAAAAUCUUCAAAGAUGGCAAAGGCAUAGUCAUCGAAUUGAAAUGUCAACUAGGGUUAAGAGUGCAUUCUCCUUCUCCUUCUUUGCCAUAUUCGCCUUCUCCUUCUCCUUCGUCACUAUAUUUGCCUUCCUGGACUGUUUCCACAGCGCCUUCCUCUCCCUCCUUCAGCGUCGGGUAAAGCCUCCCGUUAAUCUCUUUUUGCAUCUCUUCCUUUUUUGAUUUCAUGGCCUCCAAUGCCGCCUCUGCCUCGCUGACGUUGCCAUUCCCGUUCCAAAAAUCAUCCAUGGUUUUCAACAGAAACGACACCGUCUCAAGCAGCCUAUCAGCGCAGUCUGAGUACUGGUGACUCUUGACUCUUUGUUUCUCCACGACGCAGAGGUAAAGGUAGAGGAAGAGGAGGAGAUGGAGACGAUGAUGAUGAUGAGCUGCGUUUCAAUUUCAGAGUUCAGUUAUGAGAGGCGCUAUUAGUGUGAGAUCCUCUUCAUCUUUGUGUUUCGGCACACCCAAGUUGUUCAAUUCAGCAAGGGUAGCAGUGAAUGGUCGAUGAAGAAACAAAGGUUUGAGUUGCAACGCCAUGUUCGAUUUGGGUGUGCCCAAACUGGUCGUUAUUGUCGGCGUGCCCAAGAAAUUGCCUGAAGUCGAGCGUAGCAUCGACAAAACUGUAAAGAGCUUCCAAUAGGUAGCUUUACUCUCAUAUUGCAUUACCACUAACUCUCUCCACUCCUUGUGCUGGAGAUCACACCAUCGAGCAACUGAGGGAUAAUUUCAAUAAGAUCCAAACCCAAACUGUAACAACUGUGAGGGGAAAAGUAAAAUAAAAUGGGAGGAUGGUUAUUUGUUGGAUUUUGGCAUUCACUUGUCAAGUGUUUUCCACAUUAUUGCUUUUAAGGAUGGUACAAACAUGGCAGUGAAAGAAUCUUCAGAAAUGGCCAGUUCUUUGAACCAAGAACCAAGAAAGGGAAUGAUUCUACCAUUUCAACCUCUUUCACUUGCAUUCAAUCAUAUUAGCUAUUAUGUAGAUAUGUCAGCUUUCACAUAUGCUUUCCUUACACUGGCAUGUUAUGAUUACAAAAAUUUCCUUCUUGCAGAUGUUCUAUCUGUCCCUAGAUGUUUGGUGUUGUAGCAUCAAUCAAUCAUGUUAACCACCUCUUUGAAUUCACGAGAGCUUAGCUUUCUUGAAUACAUAACAGAAUAAAUAUAAAAUCUCUUGUUCAACUCUUAAGGCCAUGUAAAUUAUUCUUGAAAAAUUCAAUGCUCUUAUAUGUUUAUCAAAAUUGUUAGAAAAAGAUAAAUUUAAUUCAAGCCUAUUUUUUUCUUCAUAGUAAAUCUUCUGAUUUUGUUUUUUUGACUUCUAUUACAUCAGGAAAUGAGGAGUCAAUGAAUCAAUAAAGAUCAACUUCAACUACUGCAAGAUGUUAGUGGUGCUUUUAGACCAGGAAUUUUGACAACACUUGUGGAUGUAUUUGCUGGAAGAAAAAUAGGUGGAUACAUUGAAGGAAGUAUUACCAUCUGAGGUUACCCAAAGAACCAAACAACAUUUGCUAAUAGAAUAUUUUGAAGUGAGUGUUGAAGUUUUUAUAUGGCUAUAUCGUCUUUAGAACUUAGUUUCAUACAUUGUGUACCAUGGUAUGCUUAGCGUGUGCGUGUUAAUUUUGAAAUUUGAAAUUACAUAAAGUUAGGGAAAUAAACUAGGAUCCAUCGUAAUGUAUAUGAUAUGUACUCAUAAAACAAAUAGCAUAUAUGAUUUGUUAAAAAAAAUAACAAAUUAAAA